Long non-coding RNA from Mya arenaria, 2684 nucleotides. RefSeq lists it as uncharacterized. The transcript is spliced from 3 exons. Lineage: Eukaryota; Metazoa; Mollusca; Bivalvia; Myida; Myidae. The record is from RefSeq and is a predicted model, not a curated record.
CUUAAAAGUGAAAUGAUAUGUUAACACUAUUUCACUAAUCAAUAAACAAACGAACGAAGUGAAUGCUUUUUAGAAACCGUAUAUCGAUAAAGUAUAUUUUACAGAUUACUCCGUCUAUAUUUAGCAUGAUCAUUUCACUUUUCGAUCGUUGCCAUUUUGUACGCGCCCUGCCUAAGAGUGUCUCAUGGACUUCAGCUGGAUUAAAUGUGUAUUCCAGCCUGGUUGCAGUAGCCACAGGGGAAUUUUCAAGGACAAGAACCAGUGCUGGUAAAAAUGUGGUCUCAUGUGGUUUUCCAUACCGGCUUUCAGCAAGGAUUUCAGAGAAAGGAAGACUGUCUCCAAGUAAGAAGACAUUCUAAGCAUGUCUGGUUUUAAUGCUUUCAAAAUGCAUCUGGGUACUCAAUAAGAUGAGAUUAACCUUUGAAUUGUUAAAAACUGAUAGCAAAAUGUCCAAAAGACUAUAUAUUUCAUAAAAUUUGUCCGGAAAAUCUUUCAAUUCAUGAGCUUUUCUGCAUAUUUAUCACAUUUAUGACCACAUAAAAGGUUGUGUAUGCCUCAAAUGAGUGUUUCCAUGCCUUUUUCAAACUUUUACAGUAUUGGCAGACAGUUUUAUAAGUGGAAAACAUUGCUUUUGUGUCUUGCUUGCAUAUCAUGAUGUGCCAAUAAGCUCCAGUUAGCUGCGCCUUUUUCCUCCUACCUGCAAUCUGAAUCCAGGAGAUGCAGCUCUGAAUCCAAUAUUUCAGAAGAAUGAAUAUAAAACUGAAGCCUUCAGGAAGUCAACGCCACCAUGGUAUUGAUUUACUCAGCUCUGUUGUACUCAGCUGUGAUGAAACAUGCCUUCAAGCCACUAUUCGAAGAACAUUCAGACGUUCUAAAUGGACCAUUGCCCUGUUGCCAUAAAAAUGAGGAGGAGCACAUGCUAAACAUGCUUGCAAUUACACUGUACCAUCUAUCAUAAUAUAGCAAUGCUGCAAUUACCACAUUUUUUGUACUUUAUACUGAAACUUUUAUUGAAAAUGGUGCAUAAACACUGAUAACACAUAAAUGUUUCAUUCAUACAUUUGUACAUGUUCUUUCAGUGUAUAUGUUGAUAAUGCUAAUACAUAUUUCAUGUACAUUUACACAUGUGUUUAUUGCCAACCUCAUCAAAACAUGCAUAUUUUGCUCACAAAGAUAUUUCCAUUUUCAGAAUGUAUUACUACUUUACGUUGAUUUUGAUAUGUAAAUAAAACAUUGUACUACUCGUUUAUACAAAACACUUUUCAUUUGCUAUGUUGUUUGUUUCCAUGUUCUGUCUGCAUACAGAUGGUAUUUUGAAUUUUCAUAUCAAUUUUUAGCUCGACUAUUCGUAGAAUAUGGAGAGCUAUACUACUCACCCAAGUGUCAGCGUCGGCGUCACACCUUGGUUAAGGAUUUGCAUGUAAGCACACAUAGGUUAAUAUCUCAGUUACUUCUUGAAGUAUCGCAUUGAGACUUGAUACAAUGGUACUCAACCAUCCAACCUACUUAAUUAACCAAGUAAGAUAACUCUACUUUGCAUUUAAUGCAAAUUAUAGGCUUUUAUUAUUUGACUUUGAAAUUCUGGUUAAGGUUUUGCGUGCAAGCACACAUAGGUAAAUAUCUCAUUAAGUACUCAACAAUCCAACCUACUGAAUUAACAAAGUUAGAUAACUGUAGUUUGCAUUUAAUCCAAAUAAUAGGACUUUAUUAUUCGACUUAGAAAUUCUGGUUAAGGUUGUGCGUGCAAGCACACAUAGGUUAAUAUCUCAGCAAUUACUUGAGGUAUUGCAUUGACACAUGAUACAAGGUACUCAACCAUCCAACCUAAUUAAUUAACCAAGUAAGAUAACUUGACUUUGCAUUUAAUGCAAAUGAUUGGCCUUUAUUAUUAGACUUAGAUAUUCUGAUUAAGGUUUUGUGUGCAAGCACACAUUAUAUAAAUAUCAAAGCAACUACUUAAUGUAUUGCAUUUAAUGUCAUACAAUUGUACUCAACCAUCAAACUUCCCCAUGUAAAAAAGCUCUAGUUUCAUUUAAUGCAAUUAGUCGCCCUUUAUUAUUCGACAUAGAAAUUCUGGUUAAGGUUUUGCGUGUAAGCACACAUAGGUAAAUUUAUCAGCAAUUACUCGAUGUAUUGCAUUGAGACUUUAUAGAAUGGUAUUCAACCACUCAAUGACAUUGAAUAACCAAGAUAUAUAACUGUAUAUUGCAAAUAAUUGCCCUUUAUUAUUAGACUUAAACAUUCUGGUUGAAAUUUUCCAUGUAACCACAUUUAUGUUAAUAUCUCACCACAUGAAUUGCAUUGCAAUCUUAUCUAACAGUGAUCCAUGCAUGUUUCGCCAAAACUGUUCAACACUGAACAGCGGCGGAAUAGUCAAGCCCGCUGUCUCUGUGACAGCUCUUAUUCAAAAUUAACGUGAUUGAUGUUCAUUUCAAUAUUAACAUCUUUUAGCAUACAUGCCUAGAUGAGUUUUAAAAAAUGACCAUAUUAUCCAUACUUACUGCAUGAAAAUAUACAAUGACAUACAUUUCAUAUCAACUUGUGUAUCUGUAUUUUCCUUUCAACUACUUCGAAAUAACAAACGUCCCAACCCUAAAAUGUUCAAACAUAUUCUACAAACAUUAUUUUUACCUUACACUGUAUAUAUAUGUUCCAUAUGUAUAUAUCACGCCUAAUAAAAUUGA